This 433-nucleotide ribosomal RNA is filed under the name uncultured bacterium. RNAcentral's name for it is "partial 16S ribosomal RNA". It matches the Rfam family "Bacterial small subunit ribosomal RNA", at positions 29 to 507 of the family's 1533-position model. The record is from RNAcentral.
AGCGAACGCUGGCGGCAGGCCUAACACAUGCAAGUCGAACGAACUCUUCGGAGUUAGUGGCGGACGGGUGAGUAACACGUGGGAACGUGCCCUUUGGUACGGAAUAACUCAGGGAAACUUGAGCUAAUACCGUAUGUGCCCUUCGGGGGAAAGAUUUAUCGCCAUUGGAGCGGCCCGCGUCUGAUUAGCUAGUUGGUGAGGUAAAGGCUCACCAAGGCUACGAUCAGUAGCUGGUCUGAGAGGAUGAUCAGCCACAUUGGGACUGAGACACGGCCCAAACUCCUACGGGAGGGAGGAGUGGGGGAUCCUGCGCAAUGGGCGAAAGCCUGACGCAGCCAUGCCGCGUGAAUUAUGAAGGUCUUAGGAUUGUAAAAUUCUUUCAACGGGGACGAUAAUGACGGUACCCGGAGAAGAAGCCCCGGCUAACUUCGUG